GAUGAACGCUGGCGGCGUGCCUAAUACAUGCAAGUCGAGCGAACGGACGAGAAGCUUGCUUCUCUGAUGUUAGCGGCGGACGGGUGAGUAACACGUGGAUAACCUACCUAUAAGACUGGGAUAACUUCGGGAAACCGGAGCUAGUACCGGAUAAUAUUUUGAACCGCAUGGUUCAAAAGUGAAAGACGGUCUUGCUGUCACUUAUAGAUGGAUCCGCGCUGCAUUAGCUAGUUGGUAAGGUAACGGCUUACCAAGGCAACGAUGCAUAGCCGACCUGAGAGGGUGAUCGGCCACACUGGAACUGAGACACGGUCCAGACUCCUACGGGAGGCAGCAGUAGGGAAUCCUCCGCAAUGGGCGAAAGCCUGACGGAGCAACGCCGCGUGAGUGAUGAAGGUCUUCGGAUCGUAAAACUCUGUUAUUAGGGAAGAACAUAUGUGUAAGUAACUGUGCACAUCUUGACGGUACCUAAUCAGAAAGCCACGGCUAACUACGUG
Molecule: ribosomal RNA, 497 nt
Filed under: uncultured bacterium
Lineage: Bacteria
Description: partial 16S ribosomal RNA
Rfam family: Bacterial small subunit ribosomal RNA
Source: RNAcentral